Molecule: ribosomal RNA, 903 nt
Filed under: Triticum aestivum (bread wheat)
Lineage: Eukaryota; Viridiplantae; Streptophyta; Magnoliopsida; Poales; Poaceae
Description: partial small subunit ribosomal RNA
Source: RNAcentral
AUGGAGAUCGAAGACGCUCGAUCGCUGGGGUUGUUCAAUCUUCAAUCCGGCGGGCAGCGCACGGGCUCAGAUCCUCUGGUGCUGGUGCUGGUGCUGAUGGUGGUGGUGCUGGUGAUGGAGCGCUCCGGCGUGCCGGCGCAGCGGCUGCUGGGCGGACAUGGGCCUGAAGUCCUCGGCGACGAUGGCUAUCAGCCCGCCGAGCGGCCGCCGCAUCAUGGCGCGGUAGGUUAUCUCGUCGUAGGGCCGGCGGUAGAAGCGCAGGAAGGGCAGGAAGGACUCGCGCUCGCGCUCCACCCGGCUGGCCUGCCCGUCCUUGCGGAACGUGAACGGCGACUGCAGGAACGACGGCCUCGGCGUCCGCGGGAACUGCUGCUGCUGCGGCAGAGGGGAGGGGGUCUUCUGCCCUCCCUUGGCGGCGGACGGCGUCGGCGGCGCGCGGGCGGUGCGCUGCUGCUGGACGGGUGUCGGCGUGGAGCGCGCGGCGGGCGAGGCGAAGGAGAAGGAGCGCGCGGAGAGCGGGGACGCGCCGACGAGGGACGGGCUGGAGGAGGCCGGCACGACGGAGCGCGGGCCCGGCGCCGGCGUGGUGGAGAGGUACCACGGCUUGAGCGCGUUGUCCGACACGCUGAAGGCGAAGCGCGACGAGGCGGAGCCCACGGCGGUUCCUCCCUUCCCCGUCGUCAGCACGGCCGCCACGGACGGCUCGAAGCGCAGCGACGCCGUCCGCGGGUAGGCCGUGAAGGACGCGUCCUCCAGCGAGUCCUCGAAGUCCAGCGAGCUCACCACCGCCGUCGCCGGCGCCAGGUCCACGAACGGCCGCACUCCCUGUCACAAAGCAAAACACGGUUCUUUCAUACGUACGUACAUGAUCCCACUCGCCACGCACAAGAGCAUGCAGCAUGA